Molecule: non-coding RNA, 24 nt
Filed under: Arabidopsis thaliana (thale cress)
Lineage: Eukaryota; Viridiplantae; Streptophyta; Magnoliopsida; Brassicales; Brassicaceae
Source: RNAcentral
AGGGUUACCGGUUCCGGUGGCUUU